This is a long non-coding RNA of Maniola jurtina (meadow brown), 329 nucleotides long. RefSeq lists it as uncharacterized. The transcript has 5 exons. NCBI's taxonomy places the organism in Eukaryota, Metazoa, Arthropoda, Insecta, Lepidoptera, Nymphalidae. The record is from RefSeq and is a predicted model, not a curated record.
ACUACAACAAUAGAAACUAUGUUAUCUAAUUAGUAAUGUUUAGGCUCGCCGGAGGUGGAUGGAAGAAAACUAGUCGGCGAUAAUAUCCUUAUAAUAAUCAUAUUCAAAGUUACAUUUAAAUGAAAAGACUAAAAACUAGUGCUUAUCUCUAAGGAUGAGAAUAUUCUAACUUAAUAUUACGAUUCCCACAUCGCGCGGGUUCUGGUAUUACGCCGCGUCAGCUAUACGGGUCGUAUUCGUACGUGGGAAUGGGAAUGCAUGUUGCGCUGGCUCACUAUGUAUCAGCCGCUGGCUUCGCCUGCGUAACAAAAGACUCAAUAUUGUUAGUA